This 406-nucleotide ribosomal RNA is filed under the name uncultured bacterium. RNAcentral's name for it is "bacterial SSU rRNA". It matches the Rfam family "Bacterial small subunit ribosomal RNA", at positions 355 to 773 of the family's 1533-position model. The record is from RNAcentral.
UGGGGAAUAUUGCACAAUGGGCGAAAGCCUGAUGCAGCGACGCCGCGUGAGGGAUGACGGCCUUCGGGUUGUAAACCUCUUUCAGCAGGGACGAAGCUUUGGUGACGGUACCUGUAGAAGAAGCACCGGCUGACUACGUGCCAGCAGCCGCGGUAAUACGUAGGGUGCGAGCGUUGUCCGGAAUUAUUGGGCGUAAAGAGCUUGUAGGCGGUUUGUCGCGUCUGCCGUGAAAGCCCAGGGCUUAACCCUGGGUCUGCGGUGGGUACGGGCAGGCUAGAGUGUGGUAGGGGAGACUGGAAUUCCUGGUGUAGCGGUGAAAUGCGCAGAUAUCAGGAGGAACACCGAUGGCGAAGGCAGGUCUCUGGGCCACUACUGACGCUGAGAAGCGAAAGCAUGGGGAGCGAAC